Non-coding RNA from Oleiphilus sp. HI0065, 89 nucleotides. The record is from Rfam. Lineage: Bacteria; Pseudomonadati; Pseudomonadota; Gammaproteobacteria; Oceanospirillales; Oleiphilaceae.
UACUCUUUAAUUUAAAUCCGCACACGUUUCGUCACAUUCAGCUGGGUGCUCCGACAGGGGUUGUUGAAUGGGGGGCGUGGAGGUUCAAC